RNAcentral lists this ribosomal RNA (259 nucleotides) under uncultured bacterium. RNAcentral's name for it is "partial 16S ribosomal RNA". It matches the Rfam family "Archaeal small subunit ribosomal RNA", at positions 472 to 727 of the family's 1478-position model. The record is from RNAcentral.
CUGACCAGCACCCCGACGUGGUCGGGACGUUUAUUGGCCUAAAGGCAUCCGUAGCCGGUUCUACAAGUCUUCCGUUAAAUCCACCUGCUUAACAGAUGGGCUGCGGAAGAUACUAUGGAGCUAGGAGGCGGGAGAGGCAAGCGGUACUCGAUGGGUAGGGGUAAAAAUCCGUUGAUCCAUUGAAGACCACCAGUGGCGAAGGCGGCUUGCCAGAACGCGCUCGGACGGUGAGGGAUGAAAGCUGGGGGGAGCAAACCGG